GAUGAACGCUGGCGGCGUGCCUAAUACAUGCCAGUCGAGCGAACAGACGAGGAGCUUGCUCCUUCGACGUUAGCGGCGGACGGGUGAGUAACACGUAGGUAACCUACCUAUAAGACUGGGAUAACUUCGGGAAACCGGAGCUAAUACCGGAUAAUAUUUCGAACCGCAUGGUUCGAUAGUGAAAGAUGGCUUUGCUAUCACUUAUAGAUGGACCUGCGCCGUAUUAGCUAGUUGGUAAGGUAACGGCUUACCAAGGCAACGAUACGUAGCCGACCUGAGAGGGUGAUCGGCCGCACUGGAACUGAGACACGGUCCAGACUCCUACGGGAGGCAGCAGUAGGGAAUCUUCCGCAAUGGGCGAAAGCCUGACGGAGCAACGCCGCGUGAGUGAUGAAGGUCUUCGGAUCGUAAAACUCUGUUAUUAGGGAAGAACAAACGUGUAAGUAACUGUGCACGUCUUGACGGUACCUAAUCAGAAAGCCACGGCUAACUACGUG
This 497-nucleotide ribosomal RNA is filed under the name uncultured bacterium. RNAcentral describes it as "partial 16S ribosomal RNA". It matches the Rfam family "Bacterial small subunit ribosomal RNA", at positions 28 to 507 of the family's 1533-position model. The record is from RNAcentral.